RNAcentral lists this long non-coding RNA (2383 nucleotides) under Xyrichtys novacula (pearly razorfish). Lineage: Eukaryota; Metazoa; Chordata; Actinopteri; Labriformes; Labridae. The record is from RNAcentral.
AAAUUUCAUCCAGACCUGGAUAAGGUAAGGAUCAAACCUAUGGCCUCUGGAGAAAUCAGUUUCUUUCCCCUCUAAGCCACAGAGACAGGUAUGGGUCUAGGUUUCAAGAUGAAUCAGACUCCUUUGUUGGCAAAGCUCUGGAGAACACCCUGAAGGAGGCCUAUUAGAGGCAAGGCGACUCCCUCCCUGCCUUCCUGAACUAAUCUGAACUAUUUUAAAUUAACUUCUGUAUAAAAAUAUCAUAGUAUAGUUUGAUAAAAAUAUUAUGGUAUAGUAUGUUAAACAUGUCUUAGUAUAGUUAAGAUAAAAAUCCUAACCCUAAAGGCUAAACCAUACAGGAUCCGUAUUGAGCGUGAAACAGCAGCGUCACGUAUUUGCUCCAUAGAGCAGCGCUGUCUAUCACAUACAGGAUGCGUAUUUUGACUGUGGCAGCAGCAAAGUGAAGCCCCGGUCAGCUACUCAUUUUGUAUGGCAAAUGUCACAUACACAAAAGCAAAUACUCCAAAACUCCACCCACCUUAGAAGUUUGCUUCAUGAGUUAAAAGAGUACAUGAAAUCCCUUACACUAGUUGACACUAAACAAAGCACCACAUCCACAGAUAUAUACUAGAGGUUUUUCAAAGAAGAGUAAUGUAUUUACAUUCUGUUUCCUUUUUUUAAUUGUUUUUUUUUGUUCUUUUCCUAUUCCUGUCUAUUCAUUUAUUUAUUAUCUUCCCUACUUUUUAACUUUACUGGCAUUAUUAAUAAUAACCUAAGUUUAAUGUGUUUAUUUUUAUUUAUUUAUUUAUUGAUAAUACAUAUAUAUUGGAGCACCUGUCUGUUGUUUUAUAUACAACUGUUUGUAUGUGCAAACAUUACCAAUAAAGUUCAGUGGAAAAAAAAAAAAAGAAGCCCCAGUCAGCUGGGCUCAGCAUGGAGGAAACAACAUGCUCACAGUGGGUUGUAGUGCCAUUCUGUGGUCUUUUUUCUGCUAAUUUGUAUAAGAUUCAGUGACUGUUGAGCCUCUACUGUAUGUGAAAAAGCAAAGUGAUUUUAAACUUUCGAUUCUGGCAGGUUUACUCGUGUUCAAUGAAGUAAACUUUGUUCCUUUAUGCUGUGCGGUUACCUUCAGACAGAGUUAACGGUAAAAAGUCCUGUUGGAGUACACAAAGAUCAGGAAUUGACCAUCAGUUUGUUCUUUCAAUUUAAAUUGCAGUGUCUUAAAAGGACAGUAAAAGAGAAUAAAACACAGACUGGAUCCUCCUGUGUGUCAACAUGGCUCAGAGGAUAAGAAAACAGACUGGGACUCCCGAGGCUGACGAGUCGAUCCUUACCUUAUCCAAGUCUAAGUGAAAUUUAAAGUCUUUUGCCUAGAAAAGAGACUGAAAUAGGAAAAACACGAAACUUUCCUGUGUAUUCACAUGGCUCAGAGGAUAAGGAGACAGACUGGAACUCCUGAGGUUGUGGGUUCAAGCCUCACCUUAUACACUUGCAGUAAAAUUUUAAGUCUAGUGUCUAGAAAGGAGAGGUAAAUAGGACAAACCCGCAACUCCCCUGUGUGUCUACAUAGUUCAGAGGAUAAGGAGACUGACUGGGACUCCUGAGGUUGUGGUUUCAAGCCUUACCUUAUACACUCGCAGUGAAAUUUAAAGUCUAGUGUCUAGAAAGGAGAGUGAUAUAGGACAAACCCGGAAUUCAACCCAAUGUGUCCACAUAGCUGAAAGGAUAAGGAGACUGACUGAAACUCCUGAGGUUGUGAGUUCAAGCCUCACCUUAUACACUUGUGAAAUUUCAAGUCUAGUGUCUAGAAAGGAGAGUGAAAUAGGAAAAACCCGGAAGUCCCCUGUGUGUCUACGUAGCUCAGAGGAUAAGUAGACUGUCUGGGACUCCUGAGGUUGUGGGUUCAAGCCUUGCCUUAUACACUCGCAGUAAAAUUUAAAGUCUAGUGUUGAGAAAAGAGAUUGAAAUAGGAAAAACCUGGAACUAUCCCUGUUUGUCCACGUAGCUCAGAGGUUAGGGAGACUGACUGGGACUCCUGAGGUUGUGGGUUCAAGCCUUGCCUUAUACACUUGUGGUGAAAUUUAAAGUCGAGUGUCUAGUAAGGAGACUGAAAUAGGACAAACCCGGAAUUACCCUGUGUGUUCACAUAGCUCAGAGGAUAAGGAGACUGCCUGAGACUCUUGAGGUCGUGGGUUCAAACCUUACCCACAUCUAGUUAAAUUUUUAAGUCCUUUAGCCAAAGUAAGAUGAUAAAAGCGGGCAUUCCGCAUGCCCUAGUGUGGAUCCUAUCUAAUUGCCCUGCAUGGAAGUCUAUUGGCACCCAAUGGGGCCUGGUUUGAUACCAACUCCUGGCUGGAGAGUAUUAGUAACGAUCAGAAUUGGCCAUCAUUAGAAGUGAUCAUCA